Cyprinus carpio carpio is the source of this 683-nucleotide long non-coding RNA. Lineage: Eukaryota; Metazoa; Chordata; Actinopteri; Cypriniformes; Cyprinidae. The record is from Ensembl.
CAGAAAUCUCCUUCUCACAACAGCGGUCUUUAGGAAAGAGGGCCAUAUCACACUCAACCUCAGCAAUGACUCUUCUUCUUCUAAUCGUUCUUGCUCUUGGUGAUCUGCCAGGAAGAAGCAGAGACACUGCAAGAAGUGACCAGAUCCUGUCAUGCACAUGCACUCUGCUGUAGACAUGAUUUACCCUCUGAUUCUCUCUGGAAUUUUACUUCACAUCACAGUAAACUUUGCUGCUGUCUGGUUGACCAAGGCUUCAACUCUAAUGAAACACACCUGAACAAGCUAAUCAAGGUCUGAAGGGUUACUAGAAAGCUACAGGCAGAUCUACUCUAAACCUGAAGAUCCACCGAUAUACAGCACUAUAAAUGAUGAAAACCCAAAUGAUCUCAACAAGGACAUAAUCUACUACAGUACUAUUGAUGAUGUUCCUGGGAGUGAAGCAGUGAGGCCUCCAGCAGGCGGAGCGAUAUACAGCAUAAUAUACAGCACUGUGGAUCCACACUGACUGCAACAGUGAAGAACUCAGGAACAGAACCUUCUGACCAUGAGAAACAAAAUCAGGAUCAGAGGACUGUCAUCACAACUUUUUUGUAGUUUUUUGUAUUAUCUGCUUAUAAUUUCUUCACUGUAAGUUUACUUGUACAGUUUUAUGUUGUUUGCAUUAAUACAAACAAGCAUGGGCC